GAUGAACGCUGGCGGCGUGCCUAAUACAUGCAAGUCGAGCGAACGGACGAGAAGCUUGCUUCUCUGAUGUUAGCGGCGGACGGGUGAGUAACACGUGGAUAACCUACCUAUAAGACUGGGAUAACUUCGGGAAACCGUAGAUAAUACCGGAUAAUAUUUUGAACCGCAUGGUUCAAAAGUGAAAGACGGUCUUGCUGUAACUUAUAGAUGGAUCCGCGCUGCAUUAGCUAGUUGGUAAGGUAACGGCUUACCAAGGCAACGAUGCAUAGCCGACCUGAGAGGGUGAUCGGCCACACUGGAACUGAGACACGGUCCAGACUCCUACGGGAGGCAGCAGUAGGGAAUCUUCCGCAAUGGGCGAAAGCCUGACGGAGCAACGCCGCGUGAGUGAUGAAGGUCUUCGGAUCGUAAAGCUCUGUUAUUAGGGAAGAACAUAUGUGUAAGUAACUGUGCACAUCUUGACGGUACCUAAUCAGAAAGCCACGGCUAACUACGUG
RNAcentral lists this ribosomal RNA (497 nucleotides) under uncultured bacterium. Its description in RNAcentral is "partial 16S ribosomal RNA". It matches the Rfam family "Bacterial small subunit ribosomal RNA", at positions 28 to 507 of the family's 1533-position model. The record is from RNAcentral.